GAGGAAAGUCCGGGCUUAUGAGUAGAUUUUGUUGCAGGAUAAGUUCCUGUACAAGUAAUUGUGAGGCUAGUGCCACAGAAAAGAAUACCGCUAUAUUUUAGUAAGGGUGCAAUGGUGUGUGUAACAUAAAUUAUGUGCCAGAUAAUUUUUUUUAUAUUAUCAAAUAUUUAUUGACAACAAGGCUUAAUAGUAAGUAAAAUCUUAUACAAGACGGUUUGAAUCGAUAUAACUGUUUUAUUGUUUCUCCUAUUUUAACACUCAAUUGCGACGAAACAUUCUGUUUAAGCUAUUUUUUCUUGUCUUAAGUUUUUAGCCUAAAUUGUUGGCUAGUUUAUAGGGAUACAUAAGUAUGAAUAGAAUAUAUAUAUAAAGGCAUUGUCAAAAAAGCUUUGAUGAGCAUUGUUUGUAUAAAUACGAUCUCCAUGUUCUUUGAACAGCUAUUGCUUAUUCAGUUAAAAGCAUACCAGUAAUACUGAGAAGUGUUAACUAGGUAAACCCCAACAAUAAGCAAAUUCGUUGAUUAAUUGUAACUACUUCAAAUGACGAUAAAAAAGUGCAAAAAGUUGUGAGCAAUUUUAACUUCAGAUAAAUAACCAUCCUUUUAAAUACAGACAUUAUUGUCAAUAUUUUAAAAGAACAAAACCCGGCUUAU
RNAcentral lists this non-coding RNA (652 nucleotides) under Sahlingia subintegra. The record is from RNAcentral. Lineage: Eukaryota; Rhodophyta; Compsopogonophyceae; Erythropeltidales; Erythrotrichiaceae.